UUCGGGUACAAUGAUCUGCUGGGUGAUAUUCAAAGCAUCGAUUCACUUCUUCUUGAUCUGUCAACACUAAGAGUUGCUACAAAUGACUUCGGCCAAGGAAAUAUGCUUCGCAAAGGAGGUUUUGGGAUGGUUCACAAGGGAGUCCUACCUGACGAUUCUGAGAAACGCAAAGACCUAGAUUGGGGAAGGAGGUUCAAGAUUAUCAGUGGAGUUGCUAAGGGGUUACAAUAUCUCCACGAAGAUUCUCCAGUGAAGAUAGUUCACCAGGACCUGAAACCAAGCAACGUUUUGUUGGACUUUGAUUACAACCCUAAGAUUUCUGAUUUUGGCUUAGCAAAGAUAUUUGGAGGGAAUCAAUCAAAAGAUGUCACAAGCCGUAUCGCCGGGACAUAG
This 393-nucleotide ribosomal RNA is filed under the name Triticum aestivum (bread wheat). RNAcentral's name for it is "partial small subunit ribosomal RNA". Lineage: Eukaryota; Viridiplantae; Streptophyta; Magnoliopsida; Poales; Poaceae. The record is from RNAcentral.